This 404-nucleotide ribosomal RNA is filed under the name bacterium Ellin5084. RNAcentral's name for it is "bacterial SSU rRNA". It matches the Rfam family "Bacterial small subunit ribosomal RNA", at positions 29 to 458 of the family's 1533-position model. Lineage: Bacteria; Pseudomonadati; Pseudomonadota; Alphaproteobacteria; Hyphomicrobiales; Nitrobacteraceae. The record is from RNAcentral.
AGCGAACGCUGGCGGCAGGCUUAACACAUGCAAGUCGAGCGGGCGUAGCAAUACGUCAGCGGCAGACGGGUGAGUAACGCGUGGGAACAUACCUUUUGGUUCGGAACAACACAGGGAAACUUGUGCUAAUACCGGAUAAGCCCUUACGGGGAAAGAUUUAUCGCCGAAAGAUUGGCCCGCGUCUGAUUAGCUAGUUGGUAGGGUAACGGCCUACCAAGGCGACGAUCAGUAGCUGGUCUGAGAGGAUGAUCAGCCACAUUGGGACUGAGACACGGCCCAAACUCCUACGGGAGGCAGCAGUGGGGAAUAUUGGACAAUGGGGGCAACCCUGAUCCAGCCAUGCCGCGUGAGUGAUGAAGGCCCUAGGGUUGUAAAGCUCUUUUGUGCGGGAAGAUAAUACAGGU